Molecule: small nucleolar RNA, 81 nt
Organism: Phycodurus eques (leafy seadragon)
Lineage: Eukaryota; Metazoa; Chordata; Actinopteri; Syngnathiformes; Syngnathidae
Product: small nucleolar RNA SNORD74
Exons: 1
Source: RefSeq, a predicted model, not a curated record
CCCAUUGCUAUGUGAUGAUUAGCUGUUGGUAGGGACAUCUGAAUCGAUGUGAAGAAACGCCAACUAUCCUGACAGCAUGGG